RNAcentral lists this transfer RNA (69 nucleotides) under Marmota monax (woodchuck). RNAcentral describes it as "tRNA.Ala". Lineage: Eukaryota; Metazoa; Chordata; Mammalia; Rodentia; Sciuridae. The record is from RNAcentral.
GGAUUGUGGCUCAGCGGUAGAGUGCUCGCCUAGCAUGUACUAAGGCCCUGGGUUCGAUCCUCAGCACCA